Molecule: ribosomal RNA, 468 nt
Filed under: uncultured bacterium
Lineage: Bacteria
Description: partial 16S ribosomal RNA
Rfam family: Bacterial small subunit ribosomal RNA
Source: RNAcentral
GACGAACGCUGGCGGCGUGCUUAACACAUGCAAGUCGAACGGAAAGGCCCUGCUUUUGUGGGGUGCUCGAGUGGCGAACGGGUGAGUAACACGUGAGUAACCUGCCCUUGACUUUGGGAUAACUUCAGGAAACUGGGGCUAAUACCGGAUAGGAGCUCCUGCUGCAUGGUGGGGGUUGGAAAGUUUCGGCGGUUGGGGAUGGACGCGCGGCUUAUCAGCUUGUUGGUGGGGUAGUGGCUUACCAAGGCUUUGACGGGUAGCCGGCCUGAGAGGGUGACCGGCCACAUAGGGCCUGAGGUAGGACCCAGAGUGAUACGUGGGGCAGGGGUGGAAAAUAUUGCACACUGGGCCGCAGCCGGAUGCAACGACGUCGGGUGCGGGAUGACGGUUUGUGGGUAAUAAACCGCUUUCGCGUGUGACGAAGCGUGAGUGACGGUAACGGCUAAAGAAGCACCGGCUAACUACGUG